GAGUUUGAUCAUGGCUCAGAUUGAACGCUGGCGGAAUGCUUUACACAUGCAAGUCGAACGGCAGCAUAGAGAGCUUGCUCUCUGAUGGCGAGUGGCGAACGGGUGAGUAAUAUAUCGGAACGUGCCUAGUAAUGGGGAAUAACUAGCUGAAAGGUUAGCUAAUGCCGCAUACGACCUACGGGUGAAAGCAGGGGAUCUUCGGACCUUGCGUUAUUAGAGCGGCCGAUAUCUGAUUAGCUUGUUGGUGGGGUAAUGGCCUACCAAGGCGACGAUCAGUAGCUGGUCUGAGAGGACGAUCAGCCACACUGGAACUGAGACACGGUCCAGACUCCUACGGGAGGCAGCAGUGGGGAAUUUUGGACAAUGGGGGCAACCCUGAUCCAGCCAUUCCGCGUGAGUGAAGAAGGCCUUCGGGUUGUAAAGCUCUUUCGCAAGAGAAGAAAACUUGCUAUCUAAUAAAUAGUAAGUAUGACGGUAUCUUGACAAGAAGCACCGGCUAACUACGUGCCAGCAGCCGCGGUAAUACGUAGGGUGCAAGCGUUAAUCGGAAUUACUGGGCGUAAAGCGUGCGCAGGCAGUUUUAUAAGUCAGAUGUGAAAUCCCCGAGCUCAACUUGGGAACUGCGUUUGAAACUGUAAGACUAGAGUGUGUCAGAGGGGGGUAGAAUUCCAAGUGUAGCAGUGAAAUGCGUAGAGAUUUGGAGGAAUACCAAUGGCGAAGGCAGCCCCCUGGGAUAACACUGACGCUCAUGCACGAAAGCGUGGGGAGCAAACAGGAUUAGAUACCCUGGUAGUCCACGCCCUAAACGAUGUCUACUAGUUGUUGGUGGAGUAAAAUCCAUGAGUAACGCAGCUAACGCGUGAAGUAGACCGCCUGGGGAGUACGGUCGCAAGAUUAAAACUCAAAUGAAUUGACGGGGGCCCGCACAAGCAGUGGAGCAUGUGGUUUAAUUCGAUGCAACGCGAAGAACCUUACCAGGCCUUGACAUCCUAGGAAUCCUGUAGAGAUACGGGAGUGCCUUCGGGAAUCUAGUGACAGGUGCUGCAUGGCUGUCGUCAGCUCGUGUCGUGAGAUGUUGGGUUAAGUCCCGUAACGAGCGCAACCCUUGUCCUUAGUUGCCAGCACAUUAUGGUGGGAACUCUAAGGAGACUGCCGGUGACAAACCGGAGGAAGGUGGGGACGACGUCAAGUCAUCAUGGCCCUUACGGCCUGGGCUACACACGUAAUACAAUGGUCGGUACAGAGGGAAGCCAACCCGCGAGGGGGAGCCAAUCUCAGAAAGCCGGUCGUAGUCCGGAUUGUUGUCUGCAACUCGACAGCAUGAAGUCGGAAUCGCUAGUAAUCGCGGAUCAGCAUGUCGCGGUGAAUACGUUCCCGGGCCUUGUACACACCGCCCGUCACACCAUGGGAGUGGGUUUUACCAGAAGUAGUUAGUCUAUCCGCAAGGGGGACGAUUACCACGGUAGGAUUCAUGACUGGGGUGAAGUCGUAACAAGGUAACC
Molecule: ribosomal RNA, 1502 nt
Filed under: uncultured marine bacterium
Lineage: Bacteria
Description: bacterial SSU rRNA
Rfam family: Bacterial small subunit ribosomal RNA
Source: RNAcentral